CAUGUAGCUAGAUGUCAGAAAUGUCACAUCAGAUCUGGUUCCCUAACAAGCAGGUUGAAUUCAGGUUACCCCUGCAGUCAGAACGAUGUCAUCCAAGGAUAUUGCAGUUUCCCUUAUGACAGAAAAGGUUGAGUUUCCUUUUCAACACAGUGGUGCUGUCUUCCCUAGAAGCCUUUGAUUCCUCUUUAAGUCCAUCUUCUCCAAGGAAACUGAACACUCUGGACACAGGGGCCUCAAUAAGGCCUAGCACAGCUUCUGUGAGUAGCCACUCAACUGAUUGUCUAAGACACAGUUGCUGAGAUGGUGGCUGAGAGAAAGGAGGAAGAAGAAAGGAUACAGAGAGAAGCGUUUUCUGUAUCAACGUGCUUAAUGAGAAGAUGGGAGGAGUGUUUGGAUUGAAAACAUAUCAGUAGCAGCUUCUUCAACUAGAGCAUCGUUCAACUAGAGCCAACUAUGCAUGAGUACCAGCUCUGGAAGAAUGUGGCCUGGGACCCUUGAAGUAAAUCUGAUAGUCAUUUAAAUAAAAACAAAAAAUGCUGAUUAUCAUCUACUCUAUGAGACCUACAUACCCUGCCAUCUUCCAUACUUUAGAAUGCAUCUGGAGAAAUCACGUGCAGACCUACUGAGUUGCUUUGAGAUUACCAAUAAUUUCCUUGUAUCCAUGGUUAGACGUCAGCUUCCAUUUAAAAAGUUGUGUUAUGUAUGUUUUUCAAGUUUUUCACUACUUCAUACAGGGUAUUAUUAAAAAUCAGAAGUAAAUAUAAUGUGAAGUAGCUUAGAUCCCAAGGGAAAGUUCCAAUUAGAACCAUUUCUUUCAUUGUUUAGUUUCUAAAAUAAAAUUUUAGAAGACCUUUCUCACCAAUGUAAAAACUUCUAAAAUUUAAAUGUAAGACUAUUGUGACACAAACUUCUGAAACAUUAAUUAUCUCACAGUACAGCAUUCCUAGAUUUUCCAAAGAGAACAAUGUGAACUGAGGCUUCUAUUAAGCCAUGGUCUCAGACCGCUUUUGCCCAAAUUGCAAGCAUUUUGAUGGUGUUGUAUUGGAAGUUAAAUCACAUUUACCUCCCUUCCAGCCCCAAUAUGAGAGCAUAUAAUGGGACAAAUAUUCAAGUUUAGCACACCUAUAAUAAAAAUAUAUUUCUCUCCUUAAACUUUCCUAGUGUCAUGGACUUAAGAGAUAAGCAUGAGGGAGAUGGAUAAAAUAUUACAUAUUUUAAUUUUUUAAGUGAUUUUGCAGAAUGCGCAUUUUGCAACUGCUUAUUCCCCACAUCCCAACCUUCUAGAAUAGCACCAUCCAGUAGAAA
RNAcentral lists this long non-coding RNA (1305 nucleotides) under Homo sapiens (human). RNAcentral's name for it is "HSALNT0160956". The record is from RNAcentral. Lineage: Eukaryota; Metazoa; Chordata; Mammalia; Primates; Hominidae.